This is a long non-coding RNA of Adelges cooleyi (spruce gall adelgid), 163 nucleotides long. RefSeq lists it as uncharacterized. The record is from RefSeq and is a predicted model, not a curated record. Lineage: Eukaryota; Metazoa; Arthropoda; Insecta; Hemiptera; Adelgidae. The transcript is spliced from 3 exons.
GUCUAUCGUAGAAGUUUUUUUCAGAAUAACAAGAAUUCAUUAGUACAAUAUGAAAAAAUCUACUAUUUUAUUUGUAUUUUUUAUUAUGAUGGAAUUAGCAUUAGUCACACAAGGUCGACCAUAUCCAAGUGAGAAAAAUGAGGACACAAAAAAGUUGCUAAGU